ACAGGGAUUGCCCUAGUAACGGCGAGUGAAGCGGCAACAGCUCAAAUUUGAAACCUGGCGCAAGCCCGGAUUGUAAUUUGUAGAGGAUGCUUCUGGGCAGCGGCCGGUCUAAGUUCCUUGGAACAGGACGUCAUAGAGGGUGAGAAUCCCGUAUGCGACCGGCGCGCACCCUCCACGUAGCUCCUUCGACGAGUCGAGUUGUUUGGGAAUGCAGCUCUAAAUGGGAGGUAAAUUUCUUCUAAAGCUAAAUACCGGCCAGAGACCGAUAGCGCACAAGUAGAGUGAUCGAAAGAUGAAAAGCACUUUGGAAAGAGAGUUAAAAAGCACGUGAAAUUGUUGAAAGGGAAGCGCUCACAACCAGACUCCGCGGGGGUGUUCCGCCGGUCUUCUGACCGGUCCACUCGCCGCCGCGGGGCCAACAUCGUCUGGGGCCGCCGGAUAAGACCGGAGGAAUGUAGCUCAUUGAGUGUUAUAGCCUCCGGUGAUGCGGCGCGUCCCGGGCGAGGUCCGCGCUUCGGCAAGGAUGUUGGCGUAAUGGUUGUCAGCGGCCCGUCUUGAAACACGGACCAAGGAGUCUAACAUCUAUGCGAGUGUUCGGGUGUCAAACCCCUACGCGUAAUGAAAGUGAACGGAGGUGGGAACCGCAAGGUGCACCAUCGACCGAUCCUGAUGUCCUCGGAUGGAUUUGAGUAAGAGCAUAGCUGUUGGGACCCGAAAGAUGGUGAACUAUGCCUGAAUAGGGUGAAGCCAGAGGAAACUCUGGUGGAGGCUCGCAGCGGUUCUGACGUGCAAAUCGAUCGUCAAAUUUGGGUAUAGGGGCGAAAGACUAAUCGAACC
RNAcentral lists this ribosomal RNA (837 nucleotides) under Zasmidium gahniicola. RNAcentral describes it as "eukaryotic LSU rRNA". It matches the Rfam family "Eukaryotic large subunit ribosomal RNA", at positions 68 to 941 of the family's 3401-position model. Lineage: Eukaryota; Fungi; Ascomycota; Dothideomycetes; Mycosphaerellales; Mycosphaerellaceae. The record is from RNAcentral.